This 376-nucleotide ribosomal RNA is filed under the name uncultured bacterium. RNAcentral's name for it is "bacterial SSU rRNA". It matches the Rfam family "Bacterial small subunit ribosomal RNA", at positions 521 to 896 of the family's 1533-position model. The record is from RNAcentral.
UAAGACGAACCGUGCGAACGUUGUUCGGAAUCACUGGGCUUAAAGGGCGCGUAGGCGGACCGCCAAGUCCGUGGUGAAAUCCUCCAGCUCAACUGGAGAACUGCCGCGGAUACUGGAGGUCUCGAGGGAGGUAGGGGCAAGCGGAACUGUGGGUGGAGCGGUGAAAUGCGUUGAUAUCCACAGGAACUCCGGUGGCGAAGGCGGCUUGCUGGACCUUUUCUGACGCUGAGGCGCGAAAGCCAGGGGAGCAAACGGGAUUAGAUACCCCGGUAGUCCUGGCCCUAAACGAUGGGUACUAGAUAGUAGACUAGACAUGGGUUUACUGUCGAAGCAAAAGUGCUAAGUACCCCGCCUGGGGAGUAUGGUCGCAAGGCUG